Molecule: non-coding RNA, 96 nt
Organism: Crucibulum laeve
Lineage: Eukaryota; Fungi; Basidiomycota; Agaricomycetes; Agaricales; Nidulariaceae
Source: the annotation of a GenBank genome assembly
UCCUUCUUAGCUCAGUUGGUAGAGCGCGUCACUAGUAUAUAUCUAAAUACUGCAUCUAAAAUGACGAGGUCAGUCGUUCAAGUCGGCUAGAAGGAA